AGGCCUGCGGAGGUCUCCCCUAAGCCCUCCCCACCCCUCUCCCAGUGUUUCUGGGGACGGUGCUCCAGGCAGCCACUGCCCGUCAAUGGCCGCUUCCCUGCAUUUAACCCCAUCUGCUCGCUGUCCUUGGGGAAGUGAUGCUGCGAUGCCAGUCCUCACCCGGGGGCUCAGUGGCCUAGCAGAACUGGCUGCUGUUCCCUGAGUCAGAGCCCGGAGCUUGUUGCACGACAGCAAGUUACGGGGACCUGCUUACAGAAAGAAUACUGGAAGUGCUCGAGAUGGGAGCUCCUAGAACCUCAGUCUCCCGGCUCUGAAGGGGCUGGCUGACCUCCAGGCGCCCCCCCAGCUCUGCCGGCCGUGACCACUACCCGCAGGGCCGGCCCAGGGGAGUCGGUGCUGGGAGGGGUCCGGCCAGUCCCCCUGCUCCCCACAUGGUGUCCCCUGCCUGGGGGCACAGCGCAUCCCGGGCCUCUGCUGCUGGGCUCCACCCCGGCUCUCUGGGUCCCUUUCUUUCCUCUGUCCCUUCCCGGGACCCCCAGCUCCAGCCUGGGGUCGGGGCCUCUCAGGGAAGAAUGCAGCCUGCGCAGCUUUCAGAGACACUCUGGACCCGCUGAGCUGGGCCUGGGGGCCCCGGGCGAGAGGAUGGGGCCUCCAGCAUUGCCACCAGAAUCUCUUGCAGGGCUGUCUGCCUGCAUGGACCAGGCCUGGCGGAAAUCGCAGGAGUAAAUAACAGGAAGGAUCCACGAGCAUCGUGGUCAGCAUCGAAGUUGCAGUGGAGAGGGGAAAGACAGGAGAGCCUGGCGGGGUGUCUCUGGCUGUGAUGGGCCUGACGGCGUCAGGAAGGAGCCGCUCACUGACGCCUGCUGGGCAGCCCUGCACGGCCAGGGCCCUGGCACAUCCCAUGAGGCUGUUGGGGGCUGAGUUCAGCAGCGAAGGCUCCCGGGAGGGAGGAAAGCUUGACAAGGGCCUCGCAGCAGCAACAGGAGGAGCAGAAGCUGAGUGAGGACCCGAGCUAACUGAUCUGGGCCCUGGACGGUUAAAAUUCUCCUCCGCUUCCUCCGCCAAAAGUGACCUUAUCAUGGCCAAACAGAAGAGGAAAUUGGAUGCGACCGCAUCUUACGCAUCUUACGUAAAUGUCUUUGAGUUGUUACAUCCUGAGUGCAAACGAGAGAAGAUUCCAGCUACUUCAAAAAUCUGAACUUGAAGGGCCAAUCUGUGGCCAUACGGUCAGAACUGAAACAGGCAAAUGUGCUCACAUGGCCGACCUGUGUCAGCAUAGACCGAGGAAUCAAGGAAUGUGUACGUCCAUAGUAUCCAGACAUCGGGCUUGGAGCUGGGGACACAAGCCCUUGUUUUUUUCUAAGCCGGUGACAGAGAGCCUGGAACGGUUCAGGGGGCCGUCCCUGGACACCAGCAAGAGCCAACAGCCCAGGAGAAAUUUCCUGCCCCAAGCAACCCGGCUGGUAGCGGCCCAGGGCCGUUAACCCCGUUUCCCCCCCG
This 1500-nucleotide long non-coding RNA is filed under the name Equus caballus (horse). Its description in RNAcentral is "lncRNA (ENSECAG00000059288.1)". The record is from RNAcentral. Lineage: Eukaryota; Metazoa; Chordata; Mammalia; Perissodactyla; Equidae.